Brassica oleracea var. oleracea is the source of this 168-nucleotide small nucleolar RNA. It matches the Rfam family "small nucleolar RNA snoR143". The record is from Rfam. Lineage: Eukaryota; Viridiplantae; Streptophyta; Magnoliopsida; Brassicales; Brassicaceae.
UUGCACUCUGUCUUGAUGGCUAUGUCAAACUGAGUGGCAUGGUCAUUGAACAACAGUGCAUAAACGAAUAGCUGUUAAAUUAGCAAGCGGCCAGACAACCGUUGGGAUAGAUCCACAGGUGAAGCGGAUUUUUCAUCUGCUUUCAGCUACUAAAUCUAUCCUACAAUC